AACGGAUAAAUUUCACACAGAUAAUCUCACACAAUACUAAAUCAAUUCUAAUUAUUCAAUGUAUCAAAAUAAUGAAGUACAUCACUAUUUAUAAUACUCCUAGACAACUUUCAUAACCUAAAUUGGACUCUAAUAAGAUAACAACAAAUUAAAGAAACUAAUUAAAAUAGAACUUCUAAUUCAUAGGCUUUCAAAACCUUUUAUAUUGUUCUAACCAACUUUCAGGGCUCGUCCUGCAUCACGAUACUUUUCGAUACACAAUACGAUUCACGAUUUGACAACUAUGCUUAAAAGUUACAAAGACAUGUAAAUGCAAGUAUAUACAUGAACACCAACCCAUAACAACAUACUAAUGAGUAAGCACCAAAACACAAAAUUAACAACAAUCAAAUGGGUCCAAGCAAGUAAAAACAUUAACACCCAGAACAACAACAAUCAAAUUGAGCAAGCAAGAAAACACAACAUUAACUUGUAAUCAUUUGGGUCCAAGCAAGUAUAUACAUGAACACCCUGGGUACGCACAAAAACACAUAAUUAACAGCUUAUAAUCAUUUGUGUCCAUGCAAGUAUAAAUGAACACCCAAAACAACAAACAAAUGGGUAAGCACGAAAACACAAAAUUAACAGCUUAUAAUAAUUUGGGUCCAAAUUACCUAAGCAAUUCUGGUAAAUAUAUUUUGGGUUGAAAUUACCAUAGCAAUUCUGGUAAAUUUAAAUUAUUCUCAUUGCUUUAUAGUUGAAAGGUGA
RNAcentral lists this long non-coding RNA (747 nucleotides) under Panax ginseng (ginseng). RNAcentral's name for it is "long non-coding RNA (PGIN_LNC002818)". Lineage: Eukaryota; Viridiplantae; Streptophyta; Magnoliopsida; Apiales; Araliaceae. The record is from RNAcentral.